This 492-nucleotide ribosomal RNA is filed under the name uncultured bacterium. RNAcentral describes it as "partial 16S ribosomal RNA". It matches the Rfam family "Bacterial small subunit ribosomal RNA", at positions 29 to 507 of the family's 1533-position model. The record is from RNAcentral.
AGUGAACGCUGGCGGUAGGCCUAACACAUGCAAGUCGAACGGCAGCACAGUAAGAGCUUGCUCUUACGGGUGGCGAGUGGCGGACGGGUGAGGAAUACAUCGGAAUCUACUUUUUCGUGGGGGAUAACGUAGGGAAACUUACGCUAAUACCGCAUACGACCUACGGGUGAAAGCAGGGGAUCUUCGGACCUUGCGCGAUUGAAUGAGCCGAUGUCGGAUUAGCUAGUUGGCGGGGUAAAGGCCCACCAAGGCGACGAUCCGUAGCUGGUCUGAGAGGAUGUUCAGCCCCACUGGAACUGCGACACGGUCCAGACUCCUACGGGAGGCAGCAGUGGGGAAUAUUGGACAAUGGGCGCAAGCCUGAUCCAGCCAUACCGCGUGGGUGAAGAAGGCCUUCGGGUUGUAAAGCCCUUUUGUUGGGAAAGAAAAGCAGCAGGUUAAUACCCCGCUGUUCUGACGGUACCCAAAGAAUAAGCACCGGCUAACUUCGUG